AAGCAACAGUCUGUGACAGAUGAUCGAACUUGUCUGACACAAUAUGAGCAAGGUCUAAACUAUUUCAGUGUUUUCUCCUCCGUGAGAACAGCUGUUAUAUAGACUUAAACAGU
Small nucleolar RNA from Ailuropoda melanoleuca (giant panda), 113 nucleotides. The record is from Ensembl. Lineage: Eukaryota; Metazoa; Chordata; Mammalia; Carnivora; Ursidae.